This 213-nucleotide long non-coding RNA is filed under the name Prunus persica (peach). RNAcentral's name for it is "long non-coding RNA (PPER_LNC004390)". Lineage: Eukaryota; Viridiplantae; Streptophyta; Magnoliopsida; Rosales; Rosaceae. The record is from RNAcentral.
GCUUCUCACCUAUUUUUCGUACACUAGCUGAUGUUUGGGUAGGAUUGGAUUGAUUUCUAGCUUAGGUAACUCAAUUUUCAACCCAAAGUAUGGCCAGAAUUUCAAGCCGAAUUUCGGGUUGAAAUUUUGGCCAUUUCCGGUUAUUUUUCGGGGUAGGUCCAAGAACAAAAGUGGCUCCAAUCGAUGUCCUGAACUUGUGGUAGGAAUCUUGGC